Dipodomys spectabilis (banner-tailed kangaroo rat) is the source of this 100-nucleotide long non-coding RNA. RefSeq lists it as uncharacterized. The transcript is spliced from 3 exons. The record is from RefSeq and is a predicted model, not a curated record. NCBI's taxonomy places the organism in Eukaryota, Metazoa, Chordata, Mammalia, Rodentia, Heteromyidae.
CAUCAGGUUAGUGACACUUCAAACUGUAAAGCACUAAGGUGACGAGUAAAUGAUACUCACUGCAGCUCAGGGAGAAGUGAUAUUUUUGGAAAACUUUUUU